UGCCCAGAUGGCGGAAUUGGUAGACGCACCAGCUUCAGGUGCUGGCGAUCGCAAGGUCGUGGAGGUUCGAGUCCUCUUCUGGGCACCAU
RNAcentral lists this transfer RNA (89 nucleotides) under Sphingobium indicum UT26S. Its description in RNAcentral is "Sphingobium japonicum UT26S tRNA-Leu (CAG)". It matches the Rfam family "tRNA". Rfam says of the family: Transfer RNA (tRNA) molecules are approximately 80 nucleotides in length. Lineage: Bacteria; Pseudomonadati; Pseudomonadota; Alphaproteobacteria; Sphingomonadales; Sphingobiaceae. The record is from RNAcentral.